Non-coding RNA from Acanthosepion pharaonis, 90 nucleotides. The record is from the annotation of a GenBank genome assembly. Lineage: Eukaryota; Metazoa; Mollusca; Cephalopoda; Sepiida; Sepiidae.
UUGAAACACCGGUUCCCGUAAGAUCUGCGAAGUUAAGAAACGUCGAGUCUGGUUAGUAUCUAGAUGGGAGACCGCUUGCGAAUAUCAGGA